This 69-nucleotide transfer RNA is filed under the name Ictidomys tridecemlineatus (thirteen-lined ground squirrel). RNAcentral's name for it is "Spermophilus tridecemlineatus (thirteen-lined ground squirrel) tRNA". It matches the Rfam family "tRNA". Rfam says of the family: Transfer RNA (tRNA) molecules are approximately 80 nucleotides in length. Their secondary structure includes four short double-helical elements and three loops (D, anti-codon, and T loops). Further hydrogen bonds mediate the characteristic L-shaped molecular structure. tRNAs have two regions of fundamental functional importance: the anti-codon, which is responsible for specific mRNA codon recognition, and the 3' end, to which the tRNAs corresponding amino acid is attached (by aminoacyl-tRNA synthetases). tRNAs cope with the degeneracy of the genetic code in two manners: having more than one tRNA (with a specific anti-codon) for a particular amino acid; and 'wobble' base-pairing, i.e. permitting non-standard base-pairing at the 3rd anti-codon position. The record is from Rfam by way of RNAcentral. Lineage: Eukaryota; Metazoa; Chordata; Mammalia; Rodentia; Sciuridae.
GGGGUUGUGGCUCAGUGGUAAAGCACUUGCCUGGCACGCGUGAGGCCCUGGGUUUGAUCCUCAGCACCA